Molecule: ribosomal RNA, 292 nt
Filed under: uncultured bacterium
Lineage: Bacteria
Description: partial 16S ribosomal RNA
Rfam family: Bacterial small subunit ribosomal RNA
Source: RNAcentral
GUGUCAGCCGCCGCGGUAAUACAGAGGGUGCAAGCGUUAAUCGGAUUUACUGGGCGUAAAGCGUGCGUAGGCGGUUCGUUAAGUCGAUUGUGAAAGCCCUGGGCUCAACCUAGGAAUUGCAGUCGAUACUGGCGGGCUAGAGAACGGUAGAGGGAGGCGGAACUCCAGGUGUAGCAGUGAAAUGCGUAGAUAUCUGGAAGAACACCGAUGGCGAAGGCAACCUCCUGGGCCUGUUCUGACGCUGAGGCACGAAAGCGUGGGGAGCAAACAGGAUUAGAAACCCUAGUAGUCC